GAUGAACGCUGGCGGCGUGCCUAAUACAUGCAAGUCGAGCGAAGAAACGAGGAGCUUGCUCCUCUUACGUUAGCUGCGAACGGGUGAGUAACGCGUAGAUAACCUGCCUAUUAGACGGGGAUAACUUCGGGAAACGAGAGCUAAUACCGGAUAAUAUUUGAAACCACAUGUUACAAUAUUGAAAGGGGGAAUUGCUGCACUUUAAGAUGGACUCGGGUUGGAUUAAGUAGUAGGUGAGGUAAUGGCCCAACUAGGCGACGAUACAUAGCCGACCUGAGAGGGUGAUCGGCCACACUGGGACUGAGACACGGCCCAGACUCCUACGGGAGGCAGCAGUAGGGAAUCUUCGGCAAUGGGGGCAACCCUGACCGAGCAACGCCGCGUGAGUGAAGAAGGUUUUCGGAUCGUAAAGCUCUGUUGUAAGUCAAGAACGGGUGUGAGAGUGGAAAGUUCACACUGUGACGGUAGCUUACCAGAAAGGGACGGCUAACUACGUG
This 497-nucleotide ribosomal RNA is filed under the name uncultured bacterium. RNAcentral describes it as "partial 16S ribosomal RNA". It matches the Rfam family "Bacterial small subunit ribosomal RNA", at positions 28 to 507 of the family's 1533-position model. The record is from RNAcentral.